UUCGGUUGUGUCAUUACAGUAGUGUAUUACAAUACAAAGUAUGAACUUUGUAUAUUGUAAUACACUGUUAUAUUACUUGA
Molecule: non-coding RNA, 80 nt
Organism: Bombyx mori (domestic silkworm)
Lineage: Eukaryota; Metazoa; Arthropoda; Insecta; Lepidoptera; Bombycidae
Source: Rfam